GCCAAGGUUGUGGAGCGGUCAAACACGAUUGCCUGUAGAGCAAUUGCCGUAAGGCUACCUAGGUUCGAAUCCUAGCCUUGGCA
This 83-nucleotide transfer RNA is filed under the name Candidatus Woesebacteria bacterium GW2011_GWF1_31_35. Its description in RNAcentral is "tRNA-Tyr". It matches the Rfam family "tRNA". From Rfam's summary of the family: Transfer RNA (tRNA) molecules are approximately 80 nucleotides in length. Their secondary structure includes four short double-helical elements and three loops (D, anti-codon, and T loops). Lineage: Bacteria; Candidatus Woeseibacteriota. The record is from RNAcentral. RNAcentral also lists the same sequence under 1 other name.